UUCUCUACUAUUUAGUAGGGGAAAAGCAGUAGGCGAGCGAAUAAGUAUGUCAGAAGCAAAAAGAGUAGGCGAAAAUUACCUGGGUGACGUACUAAUUCUCGCGAGAUUCGGCCGUGCGCCUUCUUAAAGUGCGUCCGAAACCGCCUACUUACCUACUAUAUAAUAGGGGGAAAGCAGUAGGCGAGCGAAUAAGUAUGCCAGAAACCAAAGUAAUCAUAAAUAAGUAGUCGAGAAGUUCCCGGAUGGCCUACUGCUUCCGCCCAGAUUCUGAAGUGUUCCUCGAUGGAUACUUUUCUAUCCCAGGAGGCCACGGGAGAGGAUACGUCAUAUCAAACACGGAGGAGAAAAGCGACGCGGAUGCUGUCAAAUAGCUUUGUGUUGGAGCAGGACCUGCAAGGAAAGAUGACAGUGCCAUUUGUGAAAGAAAAAAAAAAGGAAAACCUGAAACAAAAAUAUAAAGUAAGAUAAUUUUGUUACUUCUAAUACAGAAAUCAGAUGACAUUGUGCUGCUAAAAUGACUGCUUUUGUAUUAUGAUUGUGUAUUUUUGUAGGAUGUGAAUGUCCUCAGAUGGGUGUGAGCACUGAGGAUGGAGAGACACAGCAGAUCCUGGGAAUGGUUCAGUGUCAUGGAUGAGACUCUCCAUCACUCCUCCUGCCCUUACUGCCUCAUCUGACCUGAUGUUGAUGUGAUUUCUUCAUCCUCAGGAUGAUCCCGUUGGAGCAACCUGGAGUAAAGUGUCUGGAUCAAGCACACACUGGUGGAGACGCUGCAGAGAUCAAACCAGCAACCUUCUGCUGACCAGCUCAGUGGUUUAGGCCACCACACCACAAAAUCAUGCUGAUGGAGAGCACAUGAAUGUUUGCAGCAGACACAGCAGAGCCAGAUUGUCCCGCACAUCUUCUCCCACUCUUGCUUCAAGCUUGUGGGGUUCAGAGGAUCAUCACCAUGGUCUUCCUCAUCCUCUGGAUCAACGAUGUCCCCAUUGAGAAGAGCAGCAGUGAGGGACAUGAUGAUGAAGUUGUUCAUCAGCU
Megalobrama amblycephala (Wuchang bream) is the source of this 1032-nucleotide long non-coding RNA. RefSeq lists it as uncharacterized. The record is from RefSeq and is a predicted model, not a curated record. The transcript has 4 exons. Lineage: Eukaryota; Metazoa; Chordata; Actinopteri; Cypriniformes; Xenocyprididae.